CCCCUAGGCUGGCCAGGCCCAUCAGGGCUUGUGGAAUGGGAAGGAGAAGGGACACUUCCCCUUCUGCAGGCCUGCUGGGUGUGGCUGGACCCCUCGUGUGCUCACCCACUC
Gorilla gorilla gorilla (western lowland gorilla) is the source of this 111-nucleotide non-coding RNA. RefSeq annotates it as microRNA mir-3127. The record is from RefSeq and is marked provisional. NCBI's taxonomy places the organism in Eukaryota, Metazoa, Chordata, Mammalia, Primates, Hominidae.